This 2632-nucleotide long non-coding RNA is filed under the name Linum usitatissimum (flax). Its description in RNAcentral is "long non-coding RNA (LUSI_LNC003191)". The record is from RNAcentral. Lineage: Eukaryota; Viridiplantae; Streptophyta; Magnoliopsida; Malpighiales; Linaceae.
UGCAACCGCCGCCGCACGUCCGCUCGUCUUCGUCCAAACCCUCCAGGUCCUCAAUGACAUGUCCACCGAUUCGAUAACCACCGUACACCUCCCCGACGUAAUGCGAUCCUCCAUCCGUCCCGACGUUGUCAACUUCGUCCACGCCCAAAUGUCAAACAACAGCAGGCAGCCUUACGCUGUCUCCAAGAAGGCCGGUCACCAGACCUCUGCCGAGUCAUGGGGUACCGGCCGUGCAGUAUCCCGUAUCCCUCGUGUCUCCGGUGGGGGAACUCACCGAGCCGGCCAGGGAGCCUUCGGGAACAUGUGCCGUGGUGGCCGUAUGUUCGCUCCCACCAAGAUCUGGCGCCGCUGGCACCGGAGGAUCAACGUCAACCAGAAGCGGUACGCAGUAGUAUCCGCGAUCGCCGCUUCAGCUGUGCCUUCUCUGGUGAUGGCUCGCGGCCACCGGAUCGACACUGUUCCCGAACUGCCCCUGGUGAUCAACGAUUCCGCGGAGGGAGUCGAGAAGACUUCCACAGCCAUCAAGGUGUUGAAGGAGAUCGGUGCUUAUGCUGACGCCGAGAAGGCCAAGGAUAGCCAAGCUAUUCGCGCAGGGAAAGGUAAGGCGAGAAACCGUAGAUACGUAUCUCGUAAGGGGCCAUUGGUUGUCUACGGUAAUGAAGGUGCUAAGCUGGUUAAGGCAUUCCGUAACAUUCCUGGUGUGGAGAUUGCCAAUGUGGAACGCCUCAACCUUUUGAAGCUGGCUCCCGGUGGUCAUUUAGGUCGGUUUGUGAUCUGGACCAAGUCCGCUUUUGAGAAGCUUGAUUCUAUCUAUGGAACUUUUGAGAAGGCUUCGGAGAAGAAGAAUGGUUAUGUUUUGCCCAGGGCUAAGAUGGUGAAUGCUGACCUUGCUAGGAUUAUCAACUCCGAUGAGGUUCAGUCUGUGGUGAAACCCGCCAACAAGGAAGUUAAGAGGGCGACCCUGAAGAAGAAUCCAUUGAAGAACUUGAACGUGAUGUUUAAGCUUAACCCGUAUGCCAAGACCGCUAGGAGGAUGUCCUUAUUAGCUGAUGCUCAGCGCGUUAAGUCUAAGAAGGAGAAGCUUGACAGGAAGAGGACUCCCAUUAGCAAGGUAAAAAUCAGAGUUUUCUCUCUUUGAUGACACUUGAUAUUAGUAAAACUUAGCUGUAAUUAUUAUGUGAGCUGAAUGAUUUGAUCGCAUUCUAUUGUUGGGUACAGCAAUGUUCUCUGUUGUUGUUUAAGUAGGGCAUAGAAUUCUCUGUUCUAUGUUCGGUGUAACAUAAUCUUGUUGAUAGCCGUAGCAUUUUGAAUGGCACAUCUUGGCUGUCCGAAAGCCAAGUGCUUUGACACUUUCUCAAUAGUUCUUCAUGUCUGUUGAUUGAAUGUUCAUAAGAAUCUUGACCUGAGUUGCUUCUUGAACGUGUGAUUCUUCUUUGAACUAAGGGAUUGCUGAGUUGGGUUUUGUUUGUUAAAAUGGGUGAAUUUGAGCAGGAAGAAGCAAGUGCAAUCAAGGCUGCUGGAAAGGCAUGGUACAAAACAAUGGAAUCGGAAAGCGAUUACUCAGAGUUCGAGAUUUUCUCCAAAUGGCUCGGUGCAUCGCAGUAAUAAUUUCGGCGACUUUGUAUUUGUGGUUCUUGUCAAGGUUUAUAAUUAGAAGUUUGGAGAGGUUGGAUUUUACUAGGUAUUUUUGAUUUGUGUUUCCAGAGGGAUGCAACUUCUACCAAUUUUGUUUGUUGUUUGAACUUUUCAUCUUCUUAAAAUGGGGAAGGCAAUCAAUUGACAUUUCUAAAUUCAAUCUCCUAUUCAGCUAUUUUCCACUCAAAAUUGUCAUUUUUUUGUUGCGAAUUUAAUAUGGCCGAAUUUCGACUAAAUUGAUAGGCCUAAAUUUUAUGUAUUCUAUAGUCUAACCAUUUUGAAAAUGUUUUAGGGCUUGCAUUUUGCAAGUUUAGAAAUUUAACCAGAGGAUUGUAAACAGCUUAAUCAUAAUUGUAUAAUACAACAUUCUAUUACUAAUGUUAUGAUUAAUAAAAAAAAAUGUAAGAUAUCUUAAGAAUUGGAUUUUUUUAAAGUAAAUGUCUACACAUAUAUUAAUUAUGAAACUUGAAACACACAUCAUUUAGACAAUAUAUGAUCUGAUUAAUACCCGAAUGUCCACACACAUUAAGAUUAAUAUAAACCAUAUGAUAUGAGCAUCAAAUGUUUGGUACAACUAUCCUACUCGGGCCUAAGGCCCGGACCAGAUAUCUAGUGGGUUUAGCCCAAUUAGCCCACCGCACCAGUUAACAAACCUAGCCGCGAAACUUAUCGAUAUAUAAACUUCCGAAAUCCCAGAUCCCCUACUCCGCCUUCCAAAACCCUAGAAGCCAUUUGUAUUCAGCUCCACUCUUCCUUUCCCCAGCUCGGCGAAAUGGCUGCAACCGCUGCUGCACGUCCCCUCGUCUCCGUCCAAACCCUACCCGUCCUCAAUGAUAUGUCCACCGAUUCCCCCACCACCGUACACCUCCCCGACGUGAUGCGAUCCUCCAUCCGUCCCGACAUCGUCAACUUCGUCCACGCCCAGAUGUCGAACAACAGUCGCCAACCCUACGCCGUCUCCAAGAAGGCCGGUCACCAGACCUCCGCCGAGUCAUGG